AUUCCCAGUGUGGCCAAAGCCAUGGCUCUUAUCCACCUUUCGGCCACCCACUACCAUGAGCACCUGUGCCCUGCAUUGCCACUCGUCACCCCCAAGACCUUCCUAGACUUCCUGGACACUUUCCUGAUGCUGCAGCAACAGACAAUCCUGAAGAUUAAGAACAAGGCCCAGCGGUGAGUGUCCCGUCCCCUGCAGUGUACCUCCUUCUGCUCCUUUGGGUUUCCUCACCAGCACAUUGUAUCUCCAGGAUCCAGCAUGCCUUGGAGAAUCUGAGAAUGCUGACUAAGGAGCACGGUACCCAUGCCAAUCUGAUCUUUGACUUGGAACAGCAGCUGAAAGACUCCGGCAAGAGUCUCAGCAUGUUUCAGCAGCAGCUAGAGCAAAGCAAGCUCCUACACAAGCAGCAGCUGGAAGAGUGUCGGCAUCAAGAGAACCUCAUUGAGAACCUGGCCAGGCAACGGGAUGCCCUGCAAGCUCAGCAAGAGGCUUUCCUGGAGCAGAUGAGCAAGGCAUUUCUGGAGCCUCUGAGCCAGCUGCAGAUGGCUGACUUUGAGGAGAUACGGAGCUAUCGAGCACCACCAGAAUCUGUGGUCCGGGUGACUGAUGCAAUGUGUGACUUGUUCCACCAUGAAACAGGCUGGGCCAGUGCCAAACAGCUGUUAUGCACUGAGGAUUUUUAUCAGGUAGGAAGGGUGGAGCACAAUGAAGGAGGAUAGGGGAGGCAUAAAAGGGACACUUGGCAAGGCUAAACUGUUGGGUCAAGGUCCAGAGCACCCGUGUCCUCCCCAUCCCUUUAACAUACAUCCUUCCAGGAGCUGGUGUUCUUCCCCAAGGAGAAGAUAACAGACUCAGAGCUGAUAAAGUUACAUCUAAUUCUGAAGGCUCCAGGUAUGAACGAUGCAGCCCUGCGGGCAGUGAGCCGACCUGCAGCCAGCCUGGCUGCCUGGCUCUGGGCUGUUCUGCACUAUGGGCUGGCACAUUGCCGGGGACUGCCCACGGGCCUGCUGCUGCAGCAAGUGGAGGCAACACUCACUCGGGAGCAGGCCCGCCUGGGCUACUACCAGUUUCAGGCCCAGGAGACCCUGGAGCAUAAUUUGGCCCUGGCUAAGAUGGUGGAGGAUGCCCAAGCUUCCCACAAC
This 1139-nucleotide small RNA is filed under the name Pan troglodytes (chimpanzee). Its description in RNAcentral is "retained intron". The record is from RNAcentral. Lineage: Eukaryota; Metazoa; Chordata; Mammalia; Primates; Hominidae.